This 2884-nucleotide ribosomal RNA is filed under the name Candidatus Paraburkholderia kirkii. RNAcentral's name for it is "LSU rRNA". It matches the Rfam family "Bacterial large subunit ribosomal RNA". Lineage: Bacteria; Pseudomonadati; Pseudomonadota; Betaproteobacteria; Burkholderiales; Burkholderiaceae. The record is from RNAcentral.
GGUCAAGCGAACAAGUGCAUGUGGUGGAUGCCUUGGCGAUCACAGGCGAUGAAGGACGCGGUAGCCUGCGAAAAGCGGUGGGGAGCUGGCAAACGAGCUUUGAUCCACCGAUAUCCGAAUGGGGAAACCCGGCCCGUAUGGGUCACCCUAGAGUGAAUACAUAGCUCUAGUGGAGCGAACGCGGUGAACUGAAACAUCUAAGUAACCGCAGGAACAGAAAUCAACCGAGAUUCCCAAAGUAGUGGCGAGCGAAAUGGGAUCAGCCUGUACUCUUUAUUUUUAUUGUUAGCUGAACGCUCUGGAAAGUGCGGCCAUAGCAGGUGAUAGCCCUGUAAGCGAAAACAGUAGAAAAGAACUAGGGGUACGAGAAGUAGGGCGGGACACGUGAAAUCCUGUCUGAAGAUGGGGGGACCAUCCUCCAAGGCUAAAUAUUCGUGAUCGACCGAUAGUGAACCAGUACCGUGAGGGAAAGGCGAAAAGAACCCCGGGAGGGGAGUGAAAUAGAUCCUGAAACCGCAUGCAUACAAACAGUCGGAGCCUCGCAAGGGGUGACGGCGUACCUUUUGUAUAAUGGGUCAGCGACUUACGUUCAGUAGCGAGCUUAACUGAUUAAGGCAGGCGUAGCGAAAGCGAGUCCGAAUAGGGCGAUCAGUUGCUGGGCGUAGACCCGAAACCAAGUGAUCUAUCCAUGGCCAGGUUGAAGGUGCGGUAACACGUACUGGAGGACCGAACCCACUAACGUUGAAAAGUUAGGGGAUGAGCUGUGGAUAGGGGUGAAAGGUUAAACAAACUUGGAAAUAGCUGGUUCUCUCCGAAAACUAUUUAGGUAGUGCCUCGUGUAUCACCUUCGGGGGUAGAGCACUGUCAUGGUUGUGGGGUCCAUUGCGGAUUACUAAGCCAUAGCAAACUCCGAAUACCGAAGAGUGCAAUCACGGGAGACAGACAUCGGGUGCUAACGUCCGGUGUCAAGAGGGAAACAACCCAGACCGCCAGCUAAGGUCCCUAAGAUUGGCUAAGUGGGAAACGAAGUGGGAAGGCUAAAACAGUCAGGAGGUUGGCUUAGAAGCAGCCACCCUUUAAAGAAAGCGUAAUAGCUCACUGAUCGAGUCGUCCUGCGCGGAAGAUGUAACGGGGCUCAAGCCAGUCACCGAAGCUGCGGAUGCGCACGUAAGUGCGUGUGGUAGGAGAGCGUUCCGUAAGCCUGCGAAGGUGCGUUGAAAAGCGUGCUGGAGGUAUCGGAAGUGCGAAUGCUGACAUGAGUAGCGGUAAAGGGGGUGAAAAGCCCCCUCGCCGUAAGCCCAAGGUUUCCUACGCAACGUUUAUCGGCGUAGGGUGAGUCGGCCCCUAAGGUGAGGCAGAAAUGCGUAGCUGAUGGGAAGCAGGUCAAUAUUCCUGCACCAUUGUUAGAUGCGAUGGGGGGACGGAUCGCGGAAGGUUGUCCGGGUGUUGGACGUCCCGGUCGCUGCAUUGGAGAGGGUGCUUAGGCAAAUCCGGGCACAGGACUCAAGGGUGUGGCGCGAGUGACUUCGGUCACGAAGCAAUUGGAAGUGGUUCCAAGAAAAGCCUCUAAGCUUCAGUCUAAUAAUGACCGUACCGCAAACCGACACAGGUGGGCGAGAUGAGUAUUCUAAGGCGCUUGAGAGAACUCGGGAGAAGGAACUCGGCAAAUUGGUACCGUAACUUCGGGAUAAGGUACGCCUCUGUAGCUUAACCAGCCUGCGCUGGAAGGGUGAAGAGGUUGCAAUAAACUGGUGGCUGCGACUGUUUAAUAAAAACACAGCACUCUGCAAACACGAAAGUGGACGUAUAGGGUGUGACGCCUGCCCGGUGCCGGAAGAUUAAAUGAUGGGGUGCAAGCUCUUGAUUGAAGUCCCGGUAAACGGCGGCCGUAACUAUAACGGUCCUAAGGUAGCGAAAUUCCUUGUCGGGUAAGUUCCGACCUGCACGAACGGCGUAACGAUGGCCACACUGUCUCCUCCCGAGACUCAGCGAAGUUGAAGUGUUUGUGAUGAUGCAAUCUCCCCGCGGCUAGACGGAAAGACCCCAUGAACCUUUACUGUAGCUUUGCAUUGGACUUUGACCCGAUCUGUGUAGGAUAGGUGGGAGGCUAUGAAAGCAGGACGCUAGUCUUGCUGGAGCCGUCCUUGAAAUACCACCCUGGUUUGUUUGAGGUUCUAACCUUGGUCCGUGAUCCGGAUCGGGGACAGUGCAUGGUAGGCAGUUUGACUGGGGCGGUCUCCUCCCAAAGCGUAACGGAGGAGUACGAAGGUACGCUAGGUACGGUCGGAAAUCGUGCUGAUAGUGCAAUGGCAUAAGCGUGCUUAACUGCGAGACCGACAAGUCGAGCAGGUGCGAAAGCAGGUCAUAGUGAUCCGGUGGUUCUGUAUGGAAGGGCCAUCGCUCAACGGAUAAAAGGUACUCUGGGGAUAACAGGCUGAUACCGCCCAAGAGUUCAUAUCGACGGCGGUGUUUGGCACCUCGAUGUCGGCUCAUCUCAUCCUGGGGCUGUAGCCGGUCCCAAGGGUAUGGCUGUUCGCCAUUUAAAGAGGUACGUGAGCUGGGUUUAAAACGUCGUGAGACAGUUUGGUCCCUAUCUGCCGUGGGCGUUGGAUAUUUGAAGGGGGCUGCUCCUAGUACGAGAGGACCGGAGUGGACGAACCUCUGGUGUACCGGUUGUGACGCCAGUCGCAUCGCCGGGUAGCUAUGUUCGGAAGAGAUAACCGCUGAAAGCAUCUAAGCGGGAAACUCGCCUUAAGAUGAGAUAUCCCCGGGGCUUCGAGCCCCUUGAAGGGUCGUUCCAGACCAGGACGUUGAUAGGUCAGGUGUGUAAGUGCAGUAAUGCAUUGAGCUAACUGAUACUAAUUGCCCGUAAGGCUUGAUCCUA